AUUGAACGCUGGCGGAAGGGAUAACACAUGCAAGUCGAGCGGAUGAAGGGAGCUUGCUCCUGGAUUCAGCGGCGGACGGGUGAGUAAUGCCUAGGAAUCUGCCUGGUAGUGGGGGAUAACGUCCGGAAACGGGCGCUAAUACCGCAUACGUCCUGAGGGAGAAAGUGGGGGAUCUUCGGACCUCAUGCUAUCAGAUGAGCCUAGGUCGGAUUAGCUAGUUGGUGGGGUAAAGGCCUACCAAGGCGACGAUCCGUAACUGGUCUGAGAGGAUGAUCAGUCGCACUGGAACUGAGACACGGUCCAGACUCCUACGGGAGGCAGCAGUGGGGAAUAUUGGACAAUGGGCGAAAGCCUGAUCCAGCCAUGCCGCGUGUGUGAAGAAGGUCUUCGGAUUGUAAAGCACUUUAAGUUGGGAGGAAGGGCAGUAAGUUAAUACCUUGCUGUUUUGACGUUACCAACAGAAUAAGCACCGGCUAACUUCGUG
This 484-nucleotide ribosomal RNA is filed under the name uncultured bacterium. RNAcentral describes it as "partial 16S ribosomal RNA". It matches the Rfam family "Bacterial small subunit ribosomal RNA", at positions 30 to 507 of the family's 1533-position model. The record is from RNAcentral.